Molecule: ribosomal RNA, 253 nt
Filed under: uncultured bacterium
Lineage: Bacteria
Description: partial 16S ribosomal RNA
Rfam family: Bacterial small subunit ribosomal RNA
Source: RNAcentral
GACGGGGGAUGCAAGUGUUAUCCGGAAUCACUGGGCGUAAAGCGUCUGCAGGUGGUUUCCUAAGUCCACUGUUAAACCUUGAGGCUCAACCUCAAAUCUGCAUUGGAAACUAGGAGACUUGAGUAUAGUAGGGGUAGAGGGAAUUUCCAGUGGAGCGGUGAAAUGCGUAGAUAUUGGAAAGAACACCGAUGGCGAAGGCACUCUACUGGGCUAUUACUGACACUCAGAGACGAAAGCUAGGGUAGCAAAUGGG